AGGUUCGAUUCUGGCUCGAGACGACGCUGGCGGCGUGCCUAACACAUGCAAGUCGAGCGGAGACAGAUGGAAGGCUUGCUUUUGUCCGUUCAGCGGCGGACGGGUGAGUAACGCGUGAGCAACCUGCCUUUAACAGGGGAAUAACGCAUCGAAAGAUGUGCUAAUACCGCAUAAGACCACGGCAUCACAUGGUGCAGGGGUCAAAGGAGCAAUCCGGUUAAAGAUGGGCUCGCGUCCGAUUAGCUGGUUGGUGAGACAACAGCCCACCAAGGCGACGAUCGGUAGCCGACCUGAGAGGGUGAUCGGCCACAUUGGAACUGAGAUACGGUCCAGACUCCUACGGGAGGCAGCAGUGGGGAAUAUUGGGCAAUGGGCGAAAAAGCCUGACCCAGCAACGCCGCGUGAGGGAAGAAGGGUUUCGGCUCGUAAACCUCUGUCCUAUGGGACGAAGGAAGUGACGGUACCAUAGGAGGAAGCCCCGGCUAACUACGUGCCAGCCGCCGC
This 504-nucleotide ribosomal RNA is filed under the name uncultured bacterium. RNAcentral describes it as "bacterial SSU rRNA". It matches the Rfam family "Bacterial small subunit ribosomal RNA", at positions 9 to 518 of the family's 1533-position model. The record is from RNAcentral.